GCCACGGAUCAAAGAGCUCGCACAAGAUCACGGUUUAGUUUGUUCAAUGGUUACAUCUAAUUGUUGAGGCUAUAAGACCUUAUGGCCUUUUUUUGUUCUCAUAAAUUGAGGUUUGGAUUUACAAUCCUUUUAACCAAACAGUUUGUUCAACAGCAGUACACAAAUAAAUUCUAUUUUUAUCAACAUAAUUAGAGUAUGCUAAUUUCAAAAUUGCUUCUUAAACUACUAAAACGGCAAACACGGUUCAGAUGUAUGCAGAUAGAAAUAAUAACAAAUAUCCUAUCAGAAGAGGUGUUGGAUAACAAUGUUUUAACAUCACAGGAUUUGUAACAGUCAAUGACCUAAAAAGGGACUCAAGUGAUGCAUCUACCUCUUCCUCUUUUUUUGCUUUAACUCAGGAGGAAAUGUAAGAGGGACAGAAAGAGUAACACACAAACCGUUAAGAGAGCUUUUCUGACGGAUAAGUUUGCAACCCAAUUGCUCAUAGACUUGUCUCACGGCCAAAACAUUCAUGCUCAGAUCCUUUGCAAUAUCUGUGCAGUAAGUUUUGAAGUUAUCAGCGAAAAGCGUAAGCACCAGCACGUAACUUAUGAGAAGAGAAAUUUUUUCAGGGGGUAGCCUUCUUAAUUCAGAAACAGCAAACAUAUUUGAAAAUUUAUGUCGCAGGAUGUUGGGGAUUUUAUGGCCCUUUGCAGUGAAAACAUCAAAGGAAUGCUGAUCUUUGAACUUUAUCAGAUGAUUGAUGUAUGAGAAUAUGCAGGAAAGCUUCCUCUUUUCUGACUCAUCCUGUAAAUAUAAACAAUAGAUCACAAAUAUUUUAGUUGGAAAAGACAAAAAUCAAACCUUGAAGAGUAUUUGGAUCAAAAG
Molecule: small RNA, 867 nt
Filed under: Vigna angularis var. angularis
Lineage: Eukaryota; Viridiplantae; Streptophyta; Magnoliopsida; Fabales; Fabaceae
Description: Non-protein coding transcript
Source: RNAcentral